Molecule: non-coding RNA, 25 nt
Filed under: Rattus norvegicus (Norway rat)
Lineage: Eukaryota; Metazoa; Chordata; Mammalia; Rodentia; Muridae
Source: RNAcentral
CUGAAAUUUGGGCAAGGAUUUGGGU